RNAcentral lists this ribosomal RNA (255 nucleotides) under uncultured bacterium. RNAcentral's name for it is "partial 16S ribosomal RNA". It matches the Rfam family "Bacterial small subunit ribosomal RNA", at positions 524 to 777 of the family's 1533-position model. The record is from RNAcentral.
UACAGAGGGGGCAAGCGUUGUUCGGAAUUACUGGGCGUAAAGGGCGCGUAGGCGGCCCGCUAAGUCGAACGUGAAAUCCCCGGGCUCAACCCGGGAACUGCGUCCGAUACUGGCAGGCUUGAAUCCGGGAGAGGGAUGCGGAAUUCCAGGUGUAGCGGUGAAAUGACGUAGAUAUCUGGAGGAACACCGGUGGCGAAGGCGGCAUCCUGGACCGGCAUUGACGCUGAGGAGCGAAAGCGUGGGGAGCAAACAGGG